RNAcentral lists this ribosomal RNA (2239 nucleotides) under Salmonella enterica. Its description in RNAcentral is "partial 23S ribosomal RNA". It matches the Rfam family "Bacterial large subunit ribosomal RNA", at positions 580 to 2803 of the family's 2925-position model. The record is from RNAcentral. RNAcentral also lists the same sequence under 2 other names. Lineage: Bacteria; Pseudomonadati; Pseudomonadota; Gammaproteobacteria; Enterobacterales; Enterobacteriaceae.
CAGGUUUACCUGUGUGACUGCGUACCUUUUGUAUAAUGGGUCAGCGACUUAUAUUCUGUAGCAAGGUUAACCGAAUAGGGGAGCCGGAGGGAAACCGAGUCUUAAUUGGGCGUUAAGUUGCAGGGUAUAGACCCGAAACCCGGUGAUCUAGCCAUGGGCAGGUUGAAGGUUGGGUAACACUAACUGGAGGACCGAACCGACUAAUGUUGAAAAAUUAGCGGAUGACCUGUGGCUGGGGGUGAAAGGCCAAUCAAACCGGGAGAUAGCUGGUUCUCCCCGAAAGCUAUUUAGGUAGCGCCUCGUGAAUUCAUCUCCGGGGGUAGAGCACUGUUUCGGCUAGGGGGCCAUCCCGGCUUACCAACCCGAUGCAAACUGCGAAUACCGGAGAAUGUUAUCACGGGAGACACACGGCGGGUGCUAACGUCCGUCGUGAAGAGGGAAACAACCCAGACCGCCAGCUAAGGUCCCAAAGUCAUGGUUAAGUGGGAAACGAUGUGGGAAGGCCCAGACAGCCAGGAUGUUGGCUUAGAAGCAGCCAUCAUUUAAAGAAAGCGUAAUAGCUCACUGGUCGAGUCGGCCUGCGCGGAAGAUGUAACGGGGCUAAACCAUGCACCGAAGCUGCGGCAGCGACACUGUGUGUUGUUGGGUAGGGGAGCGUUCUGUAAGCCUGUGAAGGUGUGUCGUGAGGCAUGCUGGAGGUAUCAGAAGUGCGAAUGCUGACAUAAGUAACGAUAAAGCGGGUGAAAAGCCCGCUCGCCGGAAGACCAAGGGUUCCUGUCCAACGUUAAUCGGGGCAGGGUGAGUCGACCCCUAAGGCGAGGCCGAAAGGCGUAGUCGAUGGGAAACGGGUUAAUAUUCCCGUACUUGGUGUUACUGCGAAGGGGGGACGGAGAAGGCUAUGUUGGCCGGGCGACGGUUGUCCCGGUUUAAGCGUGUAGGUGUGUGUUCCAGGUAAAUCCGGUUCACUUUAACACUGAGGCGUGACGACGAGGCACUACGGUGCUGAAGCAACAAAUGCCCUGCUUCCAGGAAAAGCCUCUAAGCAUCAGGUAACAUCAAAUCGUACCCCAAACCGACACAGGUGGUCAGGUAGAGAAUACCAAGGCGCUUGAGAGAACUCGGGUGAAGGAACUAGGCAAAAUGGUGCCGUAACUUCGGGAGAAGGCACGCUGACACGUAGGUGAAGUGAUUUACUCAUGGAGCUGAAGUCAGUCGAAGAUACCAGCUGGCUGCAACUGUUUAUUAAAAACACAGCACUGUGCAAACACGAAAGUGGACGUAUACGGUGUGACGCCUGCCCGGUGCCGGAAGGUUAAUUGAUGGGGUCAGCGCAAGCGAAGCUCCUGAUCGAAGCCCCGGUAAACGGCGGCCGUAACUAUAACGGUCCUAAGGUAGCGAAAUUCCUUGUCGGGUAAGUUCCGACCUGCACGAAUGGCGUAAUGAUGGCCAGGCUGUCUCCACCCGAGACUCAGUGAAAUUGAACUCGCUGUGAAGAUGCAGUGUACCCGCGGCAAGACGGAAAGACCCCGUGAACCUUUACUAUAGCUUGACACUGAACAUUGAGCCUUGAUGUGUAGGAUAGGUGGGAGGCUUUGAAGUGUGGACGCCAGUCUGCAUGGAGCCGACCUUGAAAUACCACCCUUUAAUGUUUGAUGUUCUAACGUGGACCCGUUACCCGGGUUGCGGACAGUGUCUGGUGGGUAGUUUGACUGGGGCGGUCUCCUCCUAAAGAGUAACGGAGGAGCACGAAGGUUGGCUAAUCCUGGUCGGACAUCAGGAGGUUAGUGCAAUGGCAUAAGCCAGCUUGACUGCGAGCGUGACGGCGCGAGCAGGUGCGAAAGCAGGUCAUAGUGAUCCGGUGGUUCUGAAUGGAAGGGCCAUCGCUCAACGGAUAAAAGGUACUCCGGGGAUAACAGGCUGAUACCGCCCAAGAGUUCAUAUCGACGGCGGUGUUUGGCACCUCGAUGUCGGCUCAUCACAUCCUGGGGCUGAAGUAGGUCCCAAGGGUAUGGCUGUUCGCCAUUUAAAGUGGUACGCGAGCUGGGUUUAGAACGUCGUGAGACAGUUCGGUCCCUAUCUGCCGUGGGCGCUGGAGAACUGAGGGGGGCUGCUCCUAGUACGAGAGGACCGGAGUGGACGCAUCACUGGUGUUCGGGUUGUCAUGCCAAUGGCACUGCCCGGUAGCUAAAUGCGGAAGAGAUAAGUGCUGAAAGCAUCUAAGCACGAAACUUGCCCCGAG